UACGUAGGGGGCAAGCGUUGUCCGGAAUCAUUGGGCGUAAAGCGCGUGUAGGCGGCCCGGUAAGUCCGCUGUGAAAGUCGGGGGCUCAACCCUCGAAUGCCGGUGGAUACUGUCGGGCUAGAGUGCGGAAGAGGCGAGUGGAAUUCCUGGUGUAGCGGUGAAAUGCGCAGAUAUCGAGAGGAACACCGGUGGCGAAGGCGGCCUUCUGGACAGUGACUGACGCUGAGACGCGAAAGCGUGGGGAGCAAACAGG
Molecule: ribosomal RNA, 253 nt
Filed under: uncultured bacterium
Lineage: Bacteria
Description: partial 16S ribosomal RNA
Rfam family: Bacterial small subunit ribosomal RNA
Source: RNAcentral